This 657-nucleotide ribosomal RNA is filed under the name Triticum aestivum (bread wheat). Its description in RNAcentral is "partial small subunit ribosomal RNA". Lineage: Eukaryota; Viridiplantae; Streptophyta; Magnoliopsida; Poales; Poaceae. The record is from RNAcentral.
AUGGUGCAACAUGCGUUGGACCGCCCUGUUGCCUCUAGCUGUGCAUUCAAACGCAUCCGCGUCAAAGUAGAUAGGGCGGCAAAGGAUCUCAAAAUCUGGGCAAAGGGCUUCUCCAGCAGUACCCGGCUGCAGUUGCAGAUUGCAAAUGAAGUAGUUCUCCGCCUCGACAUCGCCCAAGAGCACAGACAGCUAUCACACGGCAAGCUGGCUCUCCGGAAACAGCUCAAACUCCGCGUCCUUGGCCUGGCUGCGAUUGAUCAGGCAAGGAAGCGCCCGGCCUCGUGCAUCACCUGGCUGCGGGCCGGCGAUGCCCGGUCGGCCUUCUUCCAGGCCAAGAUCAACUCUAGGAGGCAGAAAAACUUCAUUCAUGCCAUCCACACGACACACUCGAUUCUCACAUCGCAUAGCGACAAGGCCAAUGCUAUCUACGACCACUUCAACUCCUCCCUUGGGGUCGAGCCCAUUAGAGACACCACUAUAAACUGGAGCUCGGUCAACCUUCCAUCAUUACUGGCAGUCGGUUUAGACAACCCGUUUUCGGAGGAAGAGGUUUGGCAGGAGAUCUGUGCCUCGCCGCAGGAAAAACGCCAGGGCUUGAUGGCUUCAACGGAACUUUCUUCCGUGCAUGCUGGUCGAUCAUCAAGCUCGACGUCAUAG